UUGACGGGGGCCCGCACAAACGGUGGAGCNAUGUGGUUAAAUUUCCGAUGCAACCGCGAAGAACCCUUACCCUACUCUUGACCAUCCCAGAGACUUAGCAAGAGAUGCUUUGGUGCNUUCGGGAACUCUGAGACAGGUGCUGCAUGGCUGUCGUCAGCUCGUGCUGUGAAAUGUUGGGUUAAGUCCCGCAACGAGCGCAACCCAUUAUCACUUUGUUGCCAGCGGUCCGGCCGGGAACUCAAAGGUAGACUGCCAGUGUAUAAACUGGUAGGAAGGUGGGGAUGUACGUCAAGUCNAUCUAUGGCCACUUACGAGUAGGGCUACUACUACGUGCUACANAUGGCGCAUACANAAGAGAAGCGACACUCGCGAGAGCAAGCGGACACUCAUAAAGUGCGUCGUAGUCCGGUAUUGGAGUCUGCAACUCGACUCCAUGAAGUCGGAAUCGCUAGUAAUCGUGGAUCAGANAUGCCACGGUGAAUACGUUCCCGGGCNUUGUACACACCGCCCGUCUACACCAUGGGAGUGGGUUGCAAAAGAAGUAGGUAGCUUAACACUUCGGGAGGGCGCUUACCACUUUGUGAUUCAUGACUGGGGUGAAGUCGUAACAAUGUAAU
This 617-nucleotide ribosomal RNA is filed under the name uncultured bacterium. Its description in RNAcentral is "bacterial SSU rRNA". It matches the Rfam family "Bacterial small subunit ribosomal RNA", at positions 910 to 1500 of the family's 1533-position model. The record is from RNAcentral.